Molecule: long non-coding RNA, 2513 nt
Organism: Haplochromis burtoni (Burton's mouthbrooder)
Lineage: Eukaryota; Metazoa; Chordata; Actinopteri; Cichliformes; Cichlidae
Exons: 9
Source: RefSeq, a predicted model, not a curated record
CUCACGAAUCAACAAUAAUGUCAAAUAGAAAACCUUAUUGUCCAAAAAGAACACAUGGUUUCAAAGAAAGACAACCAUUCGGCAUCACAAUGGGUCCAAGGGUUUCAUCACCUAAUGGUAGUGUUGGUGCCAGUGCCUAGCCUGGAGAGGUCUGCUUGUCCCUGAGUGGAUAUGCCUAUCCAGACUGACCCAAGACCAAACUGGUCAUGAACGAUGUAACAGGCAGCAUAACAUUCUCCAAAGCUUCUCCAGACCAGUCAGUUACAUGAGAGGUGAUCAUAUCGCUUUAAGAAGCUCAAUUAUGACUUGCACACAACAAUGUAGUCAUGUGAUGUGAGGGAGGAAAGAAGAGCUGCUCAACAGGAAACUGCUCAGUAAGUUCUGACUACAUGCCAUAGUCAACAGAACAGGAAGAUUGUCUAAGAAGAAUGACUGUUACAAAAACCAUCCACUCUUCAGCAGUGUAAGGUCCUGCUUGCAAUGAAAAGUUACAUGAAGAGGUGAGCAACAGAGACAGAGAGCAGAGUCUCCAGGAUGUCUAUAGAGAGUGAGCAACCCAAAGAUCCUAAUCCACAUUUGAGUACUGAACUUGAACCUUCAAACACAAAACUUUCUGGAUGCCAACUGUCACUGACUCACUAUGAAACCAUAGCCUCAGCUCUAAAGGCUAAGAACUCCCAUGUGACAGAGCUGGACCUGAGCUUGAAUGUGAUGCAGGAUUCAGGAGUGGAUCUGCUGUCUGCUGCAUUGAAGAGCCCAAACUGUAGACUGGAAACUCUGAGUUGAGUCCGUUGUGCCAUGUGCAGGACACACACGGUUCAGCAGUGGAUGUUCCCCAUUUUGUCUGAGUUGCUGGAAGAUCCCUCAACUUAAAUUCAGCUGAUCAGUUGAACGAGAUAGAGCUCCAUGUAAUCACUGAUGACCAAAUCGAGAAGUUGGUUCUUCCAUCAGGGAUCCCACCAACAGAAAAGGAGCUGCAAAGUGUUGUGAAGGAUACCUUUGGGAUUUCAAACGACUUCAGUAUUUUAAACCAAAAUUUCAGGACUACUUCACUAUUCGCAGAAGUGACCAGAUAAAAGACAAAGACACUGAUCAACUGUCAGCUGACUAUGACUCAUCAUCCAAUCCAGUUGUAUCCAAUGCAGACUCUGCUGCAACCACUUCUCGAGACACCAUUAUUCUCAAAAGGCAGAACUUUGUGAGACCUGGCCAAAGCUGUUCCCUAUUCCACAGUCAGCAUACAAAACUGAAAUGUAACUGGAAAGAGCCACUGAGGAGUAUAAAAAGAAUGGAAAUCUUCUACUUUUCCAAAGUAAAGACUGACCUUCUUGAGGAGUUGGCUGAAACUGUAUUUCUAAGAUUCAGAUGUGGAGCUGCUCUCUGAUCUAGCCAAAAAUCCACACUGCAGACUAGAGUAUAUGAGGUCAGUAGAGGGUGUACUCCAUCUUUGCUUCAGAAGUAUUGUGCUAAAGAAAGUUAGUAUGAAAGCAAAACUCAUGUGUUUUCUGUAAAACUUUUCAGUGCCUGCUUGAUUCAUUGAAGAUGUAAGAGGAGACAGACGACAUUCGACCAGUCAGAUGAGCCAAAAAUCUUUUUGUGAUCAGGUGUUUAAGUUCUGUGAAGAUAAUUAGUGUUGUGUUCAUGUCUACAAGAAAUAAAGCUGGAUUCUAACUGACAGCCAUACAAUUUGAAUCAAACUCUCCAAUCUGAUCUCACAUAUUUUUGUAUUCAUUUUAACACUACACACCAGAUUAGCUUCAUCUUCGUGACAGGUCUGAGAUCAAUUUGACUGAAGCAGAGAAAUUAACUGGGUGCUAUUUAAGAAUACAUUUAUUAGCAUGCAGAACGGAAGCUCUGCUACUAUUUUAUAUAUAUUUUAUAUAUUAAAAAAAUUAUAUAUAUUUUAUAUAUAUUUGUCCUUCUCUUAGGGGUUUCAUCCAGAUAUCUUCAGGGACAGUUUCUGUUUAUUAAAAAGUGAUGCAGAAAUAGAUGAGAUGUUCAUGAAAACACAGAGAGCCAUCACUAAAGUGUUGGUACAGUAAUAAACUGGAAGUGAAGUUACCAGGGCUAAGAAAGGAUAGCAGCAGCUUGUGUUUGGGGAGAUGUUCCAACUGGUCAUUGUUACUGGGAAGUGGAGUGAAAAGCAGAGUUUAAUCCAGCAGUGACUGACAGAGGAAUGAGAAGCAGUUCAGAUGACUGUUAGUGCUGCAGAGUGAACUGCUGUGGGAACAGCUCUGCUGUCAGACACAGCAGAGUCCACCAUCAUUCCUGUGUCUCCCUCAGCAGUAUGUCUGGACUGCUCUGCUGCUGCUCUGUCCUUCUACACACUCUCUGCAGACACAUACUGACUCCACCCCCUCUGCUCCAUAUUCACCUGCAUUUUAUUUCAUCUAUUUUAUUCAUUUAAGUAUUCUUUAAAAAAGUCUCUGCAGAAUAUUUCUGAUUAUGACACAACACUGAGAAUCAGUGUGCUUUGAACUAGUGUAGGCUGUGGUUGUGGUUGUAGUGUUUUG